UGAAAAUGUAGCUUGGGUGCCUUGAUCAUCUCCAGAGUGACUGAUGCAAGGGAAGCAUCUCAGCAGGGGCUCGCAGGGAGUGAGUCAGGAGGGCUGGAGUGUCACCUCUUGAGUCACUGCUGGCAGCACUGGAAGCCCCCCCUGCCCUUUUCAUGUGUGAGUGGUGAUGGAGUCACAGUCCCCUUGGGGGCCAUCAGGGGAAAAUCAUCAAUUUAUCAUCGAAGCCUGAAAUAAAGAGAGAAAUUCUCCCCUGGGAUGCUGACCCAACCAGCAACUGUGGCAAGAGAUGCUUCCUGGAAGGGCAACAGGAAAGGUUCUCCCACCUGCUCCACAGCUUGCCUGGUGGCAGCUUCACAGGAAUGCUUCAGGAUGCAGCAGGAGAGCUCAGCCUGUGACUCCAGGUGUUGUCCUGCACCUGCUGCAGAGCAACUCUUGCACCUCCUCCCUCCACCCCGUGCUCCUGGAGCAAUGUGUGUGUCCCUGGGAGAUCCCCAGCACGGCUGUGAGUGCAGCACUCCCACCCUGGACCACCCAGCUCUUUCCCAAGAGGCUGGGCUCUGAAAAUCCACCUGCCACAGGCACAUUUCUGCACCUGUUUUUGGCUUCUCCUCGGAGGAGCGGCGUGCCUUUGCUCUUGAGGAUGUGCUGUGCCCCUCUGUGGAAAACCCAGUUGGAACAAUAAAACAUCUGUUCCCGAGCCCAGCAGCUGGACUGAAAUGAAAUGACGUUAGCAUCAAUUAUCCUCCGGGGUGGGGAGGCUGCAGAACGACGCAGAUUUCCUUAACGCUGAAUAACAAAUGAGAACAACAGCUUGGCUCGGUGGCUUCUGUGUUCCCGGAGAGCUUCCAAACCCCCACCUGCUCCAGCCCUUGGCUUUGGGCUGCCAAGUGGGUACCACAGCGAGGCAGGGUGAGGGAGAUGCUUUUGCACCAACAAUUGGGGGGUAAAACCCCGUUUUUGGUGUCAUGGUUUAUGGCUGCAGUGGUGGGGGAGAUUUUCUUGAAUGCAGCAAGUGAUUUUUUUAUUUUUUUUUGGGGUGGGGGGAAUGGGGUGGGGUUCAAUGGCUUCUUGCAGAGCCAGCACUGAGAGCUGUCCCAGCUGGGACACGGCCAGCGGUGGGUGCAGGCAGGCAGCCCGGAGCGGAGCUGGGGUUCACAGAGGGAUGAGGAUGAUGCAGAAUCACGUUCCCUGGGGAC
RNAcentral lists this long non-coding RNA (1196 nucleotides) under Cyanistes caeruleus (blue tit). Its description in RNAcentral is "lncRNA (ENSCCEG00000021778.1)". Lineage: Eukaryota; Metazoa; Chordata; Aves; Passeriformes; Paridae. The record is from RNAcentral.